RNAcentral lists this long non-coding RNA (8298 nucleotides) under Cucumis sativus (cucumber). RNAcentral's name for it is "long non-coding RNA (CSAT_LNC000171)". Lineage: Eukaryota; Viridiplantae; Streptophyta; Magnoliopsida; Cucurbitales; Cucurbitaceae. The record is from RNAcentral.
UCAUUAUUUGUAUUUUGCAACAAUAUUUCAAAGGUUUAGAACAACCUUCUCCGAAGGGUAGUUGAUUAUUCCUCCUUUGAACCAAGACAAUCUUGACUAGAUGCUAUCUCUAGAAUAACUCUUUAUUCUUUAUAGCACUUAGUUAUCGCUACUUUAGUCAAGAAUAUACUAACAACUUAGUAAUUCUUGUAAGUGUUACCCACCAUUUUCAGAUUUCAUAGAUUAGAAUCAUUUAUGAAAACUAAUCUAAGAAAUCCUAUCCAGUUUGGAGUUCGCGGUGUUCCGAAUCCUAUAAUACAACCCUCCGAAGGGAACGUCGCUCCAGGGCAGACAAGCAGGCAUAUUAUAGAAAUCUCACGGUGCGACCUAAUGGAAGAGACCGUGGGAUGUGCUGCCACAAAUCCCUCACCCACUUACUAUGAACUACUUCCCCUAUUCACCUUGAUUUUGAUCCAUGCAAACACUCUCCGAAGGGAGGCCGCUCCUAUGCACGGCACAAAGCCCUGCAUGGACCUCACGGUGUGAACUCUUAGGGACACUAGAGCUAAAAUACAUUAUUUUUCUCUAGUUGAAGUGUUCUAGAGAAAAAAAUAGGGUAAUCCAAGCUUCAAGAUUUAUAUUUAGGCUAACUUAAACAAAUCUUAAGUCUAGAUAAAACAUCCAAGUAUAACCAUUAUACAGGAUUUUAACCUAUGAUGUCUAGGUGAAAAACCAUUUUUAUUACCUCACACCUCUCACGAAUGCUCAUAAAACUAGGUUAACUAGGCUCAAGAACUGAUUACGAUCUCCAGGUAGGAGGUGUUCCGUAAACCGUCAACUUAAGAACCUCCAACCUUAGUCAUCUUAUCUGACUUGUUGACAAGAUUGAACCAGGUGAGCCUUUUGUAACCAGUUUUACAAGAUAUCGACCUAUUUCUAUGAAAAAUGGAAGAUAUGUUUAACCUAAGUGAGCAUGCAUUUAAUCUUUGUUAUUGAUUUUAAAAGUCUAAUUUAUUUUAUAACACUUAUAAAAACUUUUUAAACUUAAUCAAUCAUUUUAUCAAUAUAUAAACGUAUAAAACAAUCAAUUAAUAUGGAUUUUAAUUUAUUUAACUUUAAUUAAAUCAUAUUUAAUUAAAUUAAAUCAAACAAUAAAUAUAAUUAAUUUGAUUAAAUCAUAUUUAAUCAAGAAUAACUUAAUUUAUUAAAUAAUUAAUUAAUCAUAUUAAUUAAUUUCCAUAUUAAUCAAUUAACAUGCAUACAAUACAAUAUAACCUUUAUAUCAUACAUUUUAAUGCAUGAACAUGUUAACCUAUGGUGGGAUUUUAAAUCUAUAUGACAUUCAAAAUGCACAUACAAAUUUAAAGUAAUUUAAUCAUACAUCACAUGCAUAAAUAAAAAAAACACCCUAAAAUGGACUGAUUUUUGGCUCCUAAAUUAAGCUAAGUACUAAAUUAUUACAUAAUUAAUUUGGUGUAGUACAGAACCACUCCCAAAAACUUCGAACCGGCUGAAAAACCAACCGAAACCGCUUGAACCGGCCCAAAAACCAAAUUUAUUGGCUUGAACGGCCCAGGCGCACACGGGUCGGCGAAGGCAGGCGCGCGGCGAGGCGGGCGCGCGGCGCAGGGGCGCGCGGCGCGUGCGGGUCGCGAAGCGGGUCAAGGCGGGUUUUCGGUCUGUGACCUUCUUUUCUUCAUUUUUUUCAAUUCUCUCACCGGUUGAACCAAUUACAGCCUAGCUUCAACUCUAAUGACUUUUUUUAUUUUUUUAAAAAUUACAAACACUUUGCAACAAUAAAAAUAAGCCAUUAACAAGGCUAAUUACAAUAAUUAGAACAAAAACACUUAAUCUAGAGCCAAAAUCAUAAUAUAUCCAUUUUAGUUCAAACCAAAAUUUAUCUAAUAAAUAUGAACCCACCACAUGCAAUUGGGUAAAAAUGAAGCAUGCUCUGAUACCACAUGAUAGAACUAAGUCAUGCACAGCGGAAAAAGAAUCGAAUUUCUACCCUAAUUGCCACAAUUAACAUGUAACCAUAAACUAAUCAAAUUAGGGUUUUAAGAAGUAUUACCUUUGAAGCUUUCAAAAGGUUUGAUGUCUUCUUACCAAUUCUACCCGAGACCACCACUAGUACUCAACUGCUAUCCUCUAGACAAAGAACCGGGUUGUGGGACCCAAUUUUGGUGUAGAAAAUAAUGGAGAUAAAAUGAGAUUGGAAGUUUUUUUUUUCUUUUGUUGAGAUGAUGAAAAUGAUAAAAGAGGCAAAAGUCCUUCAACAUUUGAAAACACCUCUAUUUAUAGCCUAAUUGCAUGCAAAAAUGCAUGCAAUUCAUUUGCCAAAUCUCAACACCUAAUGUUCCACUAACAAUUAGUGGAACUUAGUGGGCUAGGUGUCUAUAUCUCAUAUAGCCACAUAUCCCACUAAGAGUUAGUGGGAUUAUCCAACAAAAUGUUGGAUUUUCCCACUAACUUAGUCCAAGGGUAAAAUGGUCAUUAGAUAUUUCUAGUCAAAAGUCAAAAGUCAAUAUUUUGACUUUUUACCAUUUUGUCCGUCUUGACUAAUUCCAACCUCCCGAGCAUGAAUCCGCAUUCAUUUUUCCAAAAUUCAAAUCACAUUUGAAUAUAAGGCCGGUCAAAGUUUGACUUUUCAAAGUCAAAAGUCAACAUUUUGACUUUUUACUAUUUUUGACCAAUUCCGAGCUUCUUAGUAUGAAUCCGCAUUCAUACUUAUAGUAUGUAAAACAUAAAGCUCUAUUUCUAAUUAGAAGACGACGACUAUAUCACUGUAUUUGUCGGUUUCCCUUUCUUCUCCCAAUUCGAACAAUUCGACUUAUUUCAUCACACUGUUCUAAGUUUAAUCCAUAUGAGCUAGCAGAGGAACCUAAUGGACCUAUAGAUCAUGGGCUCCAACGAUUCAAGAUUAACUAGCUAAACUCUUUUAAACCGAGUUAAUCAACAUUCGUUAACUAACGGGUCAUUCCACUAAAGUCCCGUAGUUGCACUCCCCUCACUAUAGAUAUAUUUGUGUCCAUUUGAUAAAACCAUAAUCAGUAAGUUAAUCCUUCACAGGUUGCUCGUAACCUUGGCUGGGUCAAAAUACCGUUUUACCCCAAGAUUACAUCUUGCUCCUUAAGUCCCACUAAUCCACUAUUGAACAAUUGGUUUAAGGUUCAACCUAUAAACUUAAUCCCUCUCGGGCCAAUGAGAGGGUGGGGCCCCUUGUUCAAGACUUGGAUUCAGUGCUUAAGAGAGCAACCUAUCUACUAACCCUAAAGCGGGUAGGAGUGAAUUCCAUCUUGUACCCUAUGUUCCCAGCUAUCCACCCGAUCUUACCCCUGAAAUGGGAGGCUUAUUGGGCCAACGCUGAUGAGCUGCCCUCACCUAUGCAGAUCUAAGGAUAAUCUCGUGUGAACAGGAGUUCAUAGUUAACUCAGGAUUAAGACUAAGUUACCUAGGUCAUCAAUAAUUGAGAUAGUCAGUUUUAAACAGUAAACGGUGUUAUAACGUAAAAAAGACUAAUUCAUGGUUCAGUCUUAUGUAAACAUUUUACAUAGGAUGCCCCCACUUUCAUGUCUCUACAUGAACGAUUAGGAUCACCUCGUUUGCACUACAAAGUGGGCCGCAUCCAUAGUUUCUCUAAAUAAGGCGCCCAACCUUUAUUUCAUAUACUAUAGACUAUUUAGGCUAUAUACUCGAACUUGAUCCACGUUUAUGUUUACACAUAAAGUUCAAGUUUAUUCAAAAAAUAGCCUUGGAACUUGAUUUAUUGGAUUUAAGAUUAUAAUAUUUAAUUUCUCAAUAACAACUUUAUUGAACAGAAUAUGAUUUACAAACUACGAGUUUUAGGACAAAAAAUUCCAACAGUAUGAAGUCGAAUAUUCUGCAAAGAAAGUAAGGAAAUCGGUGUUCUGGUCUAACACAAGUACGAGUAAAAAUACUAUAAGGAUGAAGUGUAUCGCUUACAUACCCUAUUAUUUGGAGGAAUGUCGAUGAUGAAAUGAAAAAACAAGAUUCAUUAAAAUGAAUGAGAAAAUGAUCUUAUUUUAUUUUUAAAAAAUGUUGUGCCUCAGAGGAGUUGAAUCUGUUCGAUGUAACGAACUGAAUCUAUUAGUAGAAACAUCAAUACAAAUUAUGCAGCAAAGUAUAUAUAGGGUUGUAAAUGCAAACAAAAUAAGCAUACAACAUCAACACAUAAAAAUCAAACAGUCAUACAACAUCGACACAAAAAAUAUAUAUCAAACAAUCAUACAACAUCAACAUCAACAUCAACAUCCCUUAAAAUGGCUAUGGAUAGUAAACAUGAGAUGACAUGAAAGAAAUCAUGAAAAGUAUGAAAUGGCAGUGGAUAAGGUUUUAUGUAUAAGAAGGUAUAUCCUUCAAAUAAUGAAGAAAUUCAUGACCCAUAAUAUGCCUUAAACAUAACAGAUCGGAAUUGAACAGUAAGGACAGACAUGCACAUUCUUGUUAACAUAGAUAUGACAAAAGAAAAAAGAAGGACAAAUGGAACUUCAAAAGAAUAAAAGAAAAUGAAUUUACCUACCAAAUGAAGAAAGAACAGAGGAGGAAGCAAGGAAAACAACACAUAAUAAAAUACAACAAAUGAAGUGCUAUAUAUAGAGGGAUAGAUGGUCAAGUAUGCCUUUAUUGACCCAUACCAAAAAAAUAAAAGAAGGGAACCUCUUUAAAUGACAGAAGUGUACAGAAAAGAGGAGGACAUAGUCAAAACCUACCACAUUAAGACAAAGAUAAGCUAUGAAUAGACAAAUGCAUAACCAAGGAAAAUGAUUGAACACAGACAGUGCAAUGUUAUGGAUUGAUGAGAUUUGCUUACAAAUAAAGAGAAUAAAACAGAACAGACAGUUGCUUGCAAAUAAAGAGAGCAGACUUCACAGCAACUCAACAUCAUAAGGCAUCUUAAUUGCAAGUAAACUGAAACUGUAAACAUAGUUACUCAAAUGUCAAAUGUCAAAAGAAAUAAAUAUGACAACAUAUUUCUUAGUGUCAAAAGAAAUAAAUAUGACAACAUAUUUCUUAGGGCACCAAUUAAAAAACAUGCCUGAAAAUGCAGUGUUCAGAUUGCUAAACAUCGUAGCAACAAGAAAUUCAAACAAACAAAACUAAUCAAAAACAUGAAAAACAAGGACAACAUUGUAGUUUCAGACGGGGAUGGCCAAAAAUGAAAAAAUAUGGAAGGACAUUGAAGUAAGAAACAAAACUACUUACGAAUAAUUUUCCAGACAAGCACAUAAACAAAAGUAAUUACAAAUAAUUAUGAAUUCAAAGAAACAAAACUAAUCAAAAACAUGGAAAAUAAACAACAUUGUAGUUUCAAAGAGGAUGCCCAAAAAUGAAAAAACAUGAACGUAAAUUGAAGUAAGAAACAAAACUACUUCAAAUAAUUUUUCAGAGAAGCACAUAAACAAAAGUAAUUACGAAUAAUUAUGAAUUUAAACAAACAAAACUAAUCAGAAACAUGAAAAACAAACAACAACAUUGCAGUUUCAAACAGGGAUGACCGAAUAUGAAAAAUUGGAAGUAAAUUGAAGAAAAAAACAAAAACAAUUACAAAUAAUUAUUCAGACAAGUACAUAAACAGAAUUAAUCACAAAUAAUUAUUCAGACAAUACAUAAGUGUAAUCCUUAUCAUCAGCUUCGAUAGAAACUCAAAAUCCAACCACUUACCUCCAACCCUACCUUGCUCAAACAUCCCAAUUGCAGAAGAUGAUAGUAACGAUAGUGUAGGAAGUGUCCAAAUCAGAGAGAAAAAAAUACUCGAUCGGCAAAUGGGAGUCCAAGCGGCAAGGGGAAGUGGAAGGGGAAAACUGAGUCGGAAUUGCAUGUUCACCAAGAAGAGUGGUGAACAUGCAAGCGAUUGAGUUUCGGAGGUAAAGUGCAAAACUCGGUCGUUCAACAAAAUCAAAAGGGAUACCCAUUUGUUUCGGAGGCAACGCUGUGAGCGAAGCCUUCAACGAAACUUGGGAGACGACGAGUAGGAGAGAAACAAAAUUAAGAAAUUUUAAUCUGUUUUUAAACUUUUAAAAAUGGUUCAAAAGUUCUAUAAGUUAGUUUUGUAUGAAAACUAUUAAAAUUUUGUUUCAAAAGUAUCCUCCAACUAUUCAAAAUUUUCAUAAACACUCUUAAACUUAUAAAAAAUUCAAAAAUACUUUCAUUUAUCUAAUUUUUAAACAAAAUUUCUUAUCCCUCAAAAUAAAAAUCAAAACUUUAAGUUAAAACUAUAGUUUUAAAUUUUCAUCCAUAUGUAGGCAUUUCUAUCGAUAUUUUCACAUUUUCAUGUGUUUGAUAUUGAUAGUAAUGAAGCAAUAUUUCCAUUACACCAUAGAAAAAUGCACAAAUCACAACAAAUAAACAUAAAAAUAACACUAAUAUAAAAUAUAAAUAAUAGACAUGUUUACUUAUUUGAAAAUAAUAAAAUAUUUAUUUACUAAUUUAAAAUUAUUAUUUUUUAAUUAUUGUUUUUAUAAUAAUUUUUCAAAAAUAUCUAUCGAAAUCAAAAUUUAUGUAAUAUCAAGACUUCAAUAUAUCAGUCAACAUUCAUAUCUUAAACAUGAUUUAAACCAUACAAUUUUACAAAAUUUCACGAAGUUUUCUCGUUAAAACAAUUACUAGUCAAAUAAAAAACAUCUCACGUUGAGAGAUCUAUCAGACUAUCACUAUAUGUUAAUAGUCAUAUACAUUUUGUUAUUUGACAAUGGUACAACAAUAACUAUUGAGAAGGGUUAUGUUUGUGAUCUAUGAUUAUGGGUUAAUAGUCAGAUAAAAAUAAAACUAUAGUUUUAAUUUAAAAUUUUUAUUUUUAUUUUAUAAAUUGGUGCAAAAUUUGGAGAUUAUCUUUUAACUUUUUUUUUUUUUUUGAAGCAUAAGGGUAUUAUAUUUUUUAAAACUUUUUAAUAGUUGAGGGUUAUUUUUUAGGAAAAUUGCAUAGGAUGACAUUUUGAGAAUAUAAUAUAACAAUUAUAGCACAUUGUUUUAGAAUUUUGCAAAUAUGGUAAAAUUUUUACUUCUUCAUCUUAAAUUUGACAUUAUUUCUAAACUACCAUUCAAUAACUUAUUUUUCUUCCUCUUUUUAAUGUCCUACUCAUUAUUUAUUUAUGCUCCCACUUUUUAAGGCCCUAAUUACUUGUUUAUUCUUAUACUAGAAAAAUUAUUUAUUCUUUCUGUCUUCAUCUUAAUUUUAAAAUAUCAAUAGUACAUUAGUUUUAAUAUGAAUAAUAUAAUAUAAUGGUUGUUGAUUGGAGUAAUUUAACUUUAUUUGUGAUUUUUUUUUACUUUCUUUAUGUGUAUUUUGAGUUGAAUUUGAUUCCAAAUGAUUUUCUUUUAUUUUUUUAUAUUAAUUUUUUUGUUUUACUCUGUCUCAGUUUCGUAUGAUAGUAUUGUAGUAUACUUAUAUUAUAUGUAUUAGUUGGUUAAUAUACUUACUACGUGGUUUUCAUUUUUUCAAAUUUUAUGUAGUUUAUUAGAGUAUUAUUAAGUAUAUGAAUGAUGUAAUUCAAUAUAUCAUUAUCAAGUAUAUCAACAAUAUAUUGUUAAAACAUAUCAGUAAAGUGAAUCAUUAACAAGUAUAUGAAUCGAGUUUACAAGUGUAUAUCGAUAGCAUAUCAAGUGUAUAAGUAGGACUUCAAGCAUAUCAAGUUCAUUUAAUCAAUCAAUUGUAUAAGUGGAUAAUACUAAAUGUAUAUGCAAUGUAUCAGGUGUAUCAAACAUAUAUUAGCAUGUUUCGGUAUCGAGUGUAUCAAAGAGUAUCAGGUGCAUCAAGUGUAUCAAUCAAAUGUAUCAGGUGUAUCAAGAAGUAUUAGGUGUAUCAAUGGGUGUAUUAGUGAUAGAACUAAGUCAUGCACAGCGGAAAAAGAAUCGAAUUUCUACCCUAAUUGCCACAAUUAACAUGUAACCAUAAACUAAUCAAAUUAGGGUUUUAAGAAGUAUUACCUUUGAAGCUUUCAAAAGUUUGAUGUCUUCUUACCAAUUCUACCCGAGACCACCACUAGUACUCAACUGCUAUCCUCUAGACAAAGAACCGGGUUGUGGAACCCAAUUUUGGUGUAGAAAGUAAUGGAGAUAAAAUGAGAUUGGAAGCUUUCUUUUUUCUUUUGUUGAGAUGAUGAAAAUGAUAAAAGAGGCAAAAGUCCUUCAACAUUUGAAAACAUCUCUAUUUAUAGCCUAAUUACAUGCAAAAAUGCAUGCAAUUCAAUUGCCAAAUCUCAACACCUAAUAUUCCACUAACAAUUAGUGGAACUUAGUGGGCUAGGUGUCUAUAUCUCAUAUAGCCACAUAUCCCACUAAGAGUUAGUGGGAUUAUCCAAC